Molecule: long non-coding RNA, 1147 nt
Filed under: Capra hircus (goat)
Lineage: Eukaryota; Metazoa; Chordata; Mammalia; Artiodactyla; Bovidae
Description: lncRNA (ENSCHIG00000000583.1)
Source: RNAcentral
GGCGAAAGAGCCGUGGGACCAGUGUUUAGCCCUGUAGGAGUAAAGGGAAGAAGGAUGCCUGCUGGGGCGAGCCGGAGACCGCGAUUGUGGAGCCGUACGGGCUUUUCUAUGCAAAGGACUCGGACGUCGUCUGUGUAUUUUGCUUUCUUGAGUUGUUGUUGUUGUUGUUGUUCCUAACUUUGGAGUUGGGUCUGACCUCCCGGGGAGCAUGGACUGAGCCGAGGCGGGGGAGGUGGCAGCAGAACCCGGAAGCCGCCCUGGCCCCCCCCCCCCAGCGCGCUCUCACAUCCGUGCCCACCGGCGUGCACACGCUCGAGGCCAGUCAGUGUGGACCCCGACCCGCGCCGAGCCUGAUGGAGGCGGGAGCCGCCACUCGGACAGAUGCACAAGCAGCAGACAUGAAUAUAGGCUCAUUCCCCCAUAGCCAUGGACACUCUCCAAAUCCAUAAGUGGUUUCUGCAAGAUUGGAAAACAAAGGAAGAAGAGAGGACGGCGCGGGCCCUGGCAGGGGUCUCGGAGAGCAAGCGGCUCUGGAUGCGGAGCGUCGGCGGAGGCCUGGCCUGGGGGAGGAUGCUGUUGGGGGUGGGGGGACGAACCAGCGCGAGGAGCACCGCCUAAUCCAGCCGGAGCUCGUGGGCCGCGGGUGCAUUUAUCAUCCCAUUACUGUAACAAAUCCGGGCUCCACUACAUGAAAGGUAAAAUGAAUUACCGACGUUAAGCCGUCAAUAAAGUCAUUUCUGUAAAUGGUGUCUCCAAAGGGCCGCCGCAUUAUUCAGCUGGCUUUAUCAGCUGGCUGGAAAUUACGUGGAGGAGCCGGGCCGCGCGGCGCGCGGGGCCGCUCACUUUGAUUAAGCGUCUUGCCAGCGCGAUGUGACAGAGCUUUUGACCAGGGUUUUAUUCACAGGCCUGUGAUGAACGCCAAGCUGAUCAGGCGGAAUGAAGAGUAAUUAAAACCUAUAAAUUAUCUUCCGCAGCCCUUCUCGAGGCGUCUCCUGCAGGCGAGAUAAGGCGUCGAGACCCUAUUUACGGCGCUGAAAGGGACCGCGGCGCACAAAAGCUACGCGGCUAAAUAGGAUAUUGAUAGUGUCCUAAUUAGAAUUUAAUUAAGUACCCACGCUCGCUUGCGGGAUAAAGAUUUCAAUUUUGC